RNAcentral lists this ribosomal RNA (254 nucleotides) under uncultured bacterium. RNAcentral's name for it is "partial 16S ribosomal RNA". It matches the Rfam family "Bacterial small subunit ribosomal RNA", at positions 524 to 776 of the family's 1533-position model. The record is from RNAcentral.
UACGUAGGGUGCAAGCGUUGCCCGGAUUUAUUGGGCGUAAAGGGCGCGUAGGCGGUCAGCACAAGUCAGUUGUGAAAUCUCCGGGCUUAACUCGGAAAGGUCAACUGAUACUGUGCGACUAGAGUGCAGAAGGGGCAACUGGAAUUCUCGGUGUAGCGGUGAAAUGCGUAGAUAUCGAGAGGAACACCUGCGGCGAAGGCGGGUUGCUGGGCUGAUACUGACGCUGAGGCGCGAAAGCCAGGGGAGCGAACGGG